This 465-nucleotide ribosomal RNA is filed under the name uncultured bacterium. RNAcentral's name for it is "partial 16S ribosomal RNA". It matches the Rfam family "Bacterial small subunit ribosomal RNA", at positions 28 to 507 of the family's 1533-position model. The record is from RNAcentral.
GACGAACGCUGGCAGCGUGCUUAACACAUGCAAGUCGAACGGAAAGGCCCCUUUGGGGGUACUCGAGUGGCGAACGGGUGAGUAACACGUGAGUAACCUGCCCUUGACUUCGGGAUAACUUCAGGAAACUGGGGCUAAUACCGGAUAGGAAUCCUUGCUGCAUGGUGGGGGUUGGAAAGCUUCGGCGGUUUUGGAUGGACUCGCGGCUUAUCAGCUUGUUGGUGGGGUAGUGGCUUACCAAGGCUUUGACGGGUAGCCGGCCUGAGAGGGCGACCGGCCACAUUGGGACUGAGAUACGGCCCAGACUCCUACGGGAGGCAGCAGUGGGGAAUAUUGCACAAUGGGCGGAAGCCUGAUGCAGCAACGCCGCGUGCGGGAUGACGGCCUUCGGGUUGGAAACCGCUUUCAGCAGGGGCGAAGCUUGUGGUGACGGUACCUGCAGAAGAAGCACCGGCUAACUACGUG